RNAcentral lists this ribosomal RNA (353 nucleotides) under uncultured bacterium. RNAcentral's name for it is "partial 16S ribosomal RNA". It matches the Rfam family "Bacterial small subunit ribosomal RNA", at positions 338 to 708 of the family's 1533-position model. The record is from RNAcentral.
CCUACGGGAGGCAGCAGUAGGGAAUAUUGCUCAAUGGGGGAAACCCUGAAGCAGCAACGCCGCGUGGAGGAUGAAGGUUUUCGGAUUGUAAACUCCUUUUGUUAGAGAAGAUAAUGACGGUAUCUAACGAAUAAGCCCCGGCUAACUCCGUGCCAGCAGCCGCGGUAAUACGGAGGGGGCAAGCGUUACCCGGAAUCACUGGGCGUAAAGAGAGCGUAGGAGGGAUAGCAAGUCAGAUGGUAAAGGCUAGGGCUUAACCAUAGAACUGCUUUUGAAACUGUUAUUCUAGAGUACGGGAGAGGUAAGUGGAAUUCUUGGUGUAGGGGUAAAAUGCGUAGAGAUCAAGAGGAAGA